Molecule: ribosomal RNA, 406 nt
Filed under: uncultured bacterium
Lineage: Bacteria
Description: partial 16S ribosomal RNA
Rfam family: Bacterial small subunit ribosomal RNA
Source: RNAcentral
AUUGAACGCUGGCGGCAGGCCUAACACAUGCAAGUCGAACGAGUGGCGGACGGGUGAGUAAUGUCUGGGAAACUGCCUGAUGGAGGGGGAUAACUACUGGAAACGGUAGCUAAUACCGCAUACUAUCGGAUGUGCCCAGAUGGGAUUAGCUAGUAGGUGGGGUAACGGCUCACCUAGGCGACGAUCCCUAGCUGGUCUGAGAGGAGGACCGGCUACACGGGAGGUGAGACACGGGCUAGACUCCUACGGGAGGCAGCAGUGGUGAAUAUUGCACGAUGGGCGCAAGCCUGAUGCAGCCAUGCCGCGUGUAUGCAGAAGGCCUUCGGGUUGUAAAGUACUUACAGCGGUGAGGCGUUACCAGCAGAAGAAGCACCGGCUAACUCCGUGCCAGCAGCCGCGGUAAUUC